Molecule: long non-coding RNA, 778 nt
Filed under: Vigna radiata
Lineage: Eukaryota; Viridiplantae; Streptophyta; Magnoliopsida; Fabales; Fabaceae
Description: long non-coding RNA (VRAD_LNC009588)
Source: RNAcentral
CCAAAAGUAGUCGGUAAUAACCAUUUACCGACAACUUAGCGACGACCAUGAUAUCGUUGGUAAAUCUCUUGUCGCUAAGAAUUACGAUGGCCUUUGGCCAUCGAUAAUUAUCGAAGGGCAAAAGCCCUUGGAAAAAGCCCUUUACCCACGGUCUAAGGUCACGAACCCAGCGUCCUCACACGAUCAAUGGGGCAUGCACCACAAACUAGGACCAAAGCAACCACCUCGACGUUGGAUGCAAACUAGGAAGCCUCAAGCUUUGGCUGGGAAUCCACGACAAUUGGUUUUGCAGUGAACUAAGAAGCCUCGACCACUGGUUUCGCAACGAACUUGGGGGAGUUGGGUCGGCUUCUCGACGGUGGCUUGUUGGGAACAACGAAGGAGGAAGGUUUGUUGUUUUACACUCACAAGGGAGAAUGGGGAAAACGAAUUGCAAAUGGCCGAAUUGAUUUUGUGGGAGGGAAACCUUUACACGAAAUGAUUUUGGGGGAGGGAAACCUCUGCGCCAAAUAUUCUGCUGCAUGAAUUUUGUUUGGGUGAUUUGGGGAGAGAAACCCCAACUUUCGAGCUUUAAUCAUCGAGCCUCUUAUACCGACAGUCGUGGAUCCUUCGGUAACUAAAUACACCUAAGCCAAUACCGACAGCCUAAAGGCCUUCGGUAAUAUUCCAUCGAAAAUCAUGUGUUUUUCUGUAAUGUUGUAAUGUCAUAUUUGCACUCACUUUAAUUAUAUUAUAAAUUCAUUUUAUAUUUAUUUGAUGUGAAAUCUUUACCCAUCCC